GCGCCCCCCGGCGGGCGGAGCCCGGCGCCGCGGCCAGGAUUUCCCACCUCGCUCCCGCGACUCCGCUGCGGGUCUGCACACCCGAGGACUCGGGGUACUUAACCGAAACUAGCAAUCCCAGGCGGUACAAGGCCCUCCAUCGUAGGCAAAGCACUACCUGAAUGUAGAUUUGGGCCAUACGUUGGAAAAUAAGACAUGAGAGUAUGCUCCGAUCAACUUUUACUGUUCACUGGACAACUAUUUUGGGAAUUUGCAGACCUAUAAAGCCCAUCUAUAAAUCUCAAGCAUGUCCACUUUCAGAGAAGAGAAAUGCUGACAACCAUUUAGUCUCUGAGGACAACACUUUUAAAGUGUAACAAUGUGGCAUCCAGAGCUUAUCCAGAUGAGCGGAGAGCAAAUGAAUUUCCUUCUGCUCCCCUGUUGAAGAGGAGAGAAAAAUUCUUCAAGCUUUAUACAGGACUCCAUCAUAGGACUGGAGAGAGAUUGGAUGUCAGAGUGAUUGAUGUGCUCCUACUGGAAGAAGGCAAACAUCCAUAUGUGAACUGCCUGUGGGGUUUCCAAGGAAAGGAACGGCAGGCAGCCUCUAUGAGCUUAAAGAAGAUAACUGGGACUUUAGUCCUAUAACCUCAAGGAACAGUAUUCUGUGAACCAUCUGAGAAGCUUGGAAGAGGACCCCAAACUCCAAAUAAGAAGCUCAGUGUGUCUGACACCUUGACUGCAGGCUUGGGAGGUCCUGAGCAGAAGAUCCAGUUCAACAGUGCCUGGACUCCUGAUCCACAAAAACUGAUAACAAAUAUUUAUUGUUUUAAGAUGCUAAGUUUGUAGUCAUUUUUUAUACAGCAACAGAAAACUAAACACACACAUAAACAGUUAUAAGUGCUCACUGUAUAUGAGGCUUUUCAUUAAUAAUCUAUAUUUUAUAAUAGAAUUAGAAUAUAGAUCUGUGAAGCUGAAGACACUCAAUCCUUGCUAGAUUUAAAUCAGGAAAAUCAGCUGAGAAUCAUUCCUUGAUAGAACCUGGAAAACAAGACCCUAUGAGAGACCCUGGGAAUUACAUUAAAUUCACUGUGGUUCCCAGUGUCACUGAAGAGGUUUUCCUUUCAUAGUCAGGUAGUCACCAUACUGUUAAGCAUUUGAACACAUGGGCAACUUCCAGAAUAGUUAUGACAUUGAUAUACCAAUCUCCAAAAUUCCUAGAAUACCAUGUUUUCAUGGUUGACCUUCAAAUCAGUCAGUUCUUUGUAACAUUGAGCCAUAAAGAUAGGGCAAAUACUUAAUGUUUUACAUAUAUUCAGAGAUUGACCCUCAAAAUACAGCCCAGAGAAACUCAAAAGAAUUAACUCUAUUUCUUCAAAUUGUGUGACGCCACCAAGGCCAGAUGACUUCAGCAUUGGGAAGGCAAUAUCCAGCUGUCAUCUUCUUGAUCCUCAUAUGCUACUACUAGCAUCUAGCAUUUACUGAGCAGAUAGUUUUAUUGUCCAGUUUUUAAAGAUAAGAAAAUUGAGGUAUUAGGAAAGUUAAGUUGGUUGCCUAGGGAAACACGAAGAUAUAGCCCAGAUUCACUCCCAGGCAGGCAGAUGCCAGUGUCUGCUCUCUUUACCACCGAAAUAUCCUGCUACAUGUACAAUUUCAAUAAAUAUCUGGACUUACUGGAACAAAACAAAUCAACAACAUUCUUAUUUUCUUUCUUCAGUUUAGAUUAAAUAAUUUAAAUGUCUUCUUAAGAAGCUACAGUUUUUUGAGGCACAGAGGGA
This 1754-nucleotide long non-coding RNA is filed under the name Homo sapiens (human). RNAcentral's name for it is "HSALNT0335933". Lineage: Eukaryota; Metazoa; Chordata; Mammalia; Primates; Hominidae. The record is from RNAcentral.